RNAcentral lists this small nuclear RNA (101 nucleotides) under Phascolarctos cinereus (koala). Lineage: Eukaryota; Metazoa; Chordata; Mammalia; Diprotodontia; Phascolarctidae. The record is from RNAcentral.
UUGCUUUGGCAGCACAUAUACUAAAAUUGAAACAGUAGAGAAGAUCAGCAUGGCCCCUGCGCAAGGAUGACACGCAAAUUCGUGAAGUGUUCCAUACUUUU